Long non-coding RNA from Mauremys reevesii (Reeves's turtle), 385 nucleotides. RefSeq lists it as uncharacterized. The record is from RefSeq and is a predicted model, not a curated record. The transcript is spliced from 4 exons. NCBI's taxonomy places the organism in Eukaryota, Metazoa, Chordata, Testudines, Geoemydidae.
GAAGGCCAUUCUUCGCCUAAGGGACACAGCGGAAGAAGACACAAAGAUGGUUGUAGGAGAAGUGGCAAUGGAAACUACACUCAGGAUUCUUCUUGUCAAUCUUUGCUGGAAAUUUCCUUUUGGACUUACUCCCUGGAAUAUUAUUUCAGCCUUUGCACAAUCCAGAGGGAAGUUUCUACACAGAUUUAUAUUUUUUGGGAAAGCUUCAACCAGGAACAGUUGAUGAAGCAGGUUAUUUGGCAGUGUGGUCUAGAAGAUUGAGCCCUGGACUAGGACUCCAGAGAGCCUCUCCAUGAAGAAUUCUCACUGUGAUGUCACAAUUAGGAUAGCAACAACUGCUGGUUGCCGAGAAUAUGUGAGAGAUGAAGAGAGGCAGCCAGAGAAG